AGCUCCAAUAGCGUAUAUUAAAGUUGCUGCAGUUAAAACGCUCGUAGUUGCAUUUCCGAGGCAAGGGAUUAGUCCGACCUUUGGUGGGUAUUUAAUCCUCUUGCCUCGUCCUUGAGUGGUGCUUCUUGGUAUUAAGUUAUCGAGGAGAUAGCCGCUCAUCGUUUACUGUGAGAAAAUUAGAGUGUUCAAAGCAGGCUUAUGCCGUUGAAUAUAUUAGCAUGGAAUAAUAAGAUAGGACCUCGGUACUAUUUUGUUGGUUUGAGAACCAAGGUAAUGAUGAAUAGGGACAGUUGGGGGUAUUCGUAUUCAGUUGUCAGAGGUGAAAUUCUUAGAUUUACGGAAGACGAACUACUGCGAAAGCAUUUACCAAGGAUGUUUGCA
This 381-nucleotide ribosomal RNA is filed under the name uncultured marine Chaetocerotaceae. RNAcentral's name for it is "SSU rRNA". It matches the Rfam family "Eukaryotic small subunit ribosomal RNA", at positions 587 to 972 of the family's 1831-position model. The record is from RNAcentral. Lineage: Eukaryota; Bacillariophyta; Thalassiosirophyceae; Chaetocerotales; Chaetocerotaceae.